This 460-nucleotide ribosomal RNA is filed under the name uncultured bacterium. Its description in RNAcentral is "partial 16S ribosomal RNA". It matches the Rfam family "Bacterial small subunit ribosomal RNA", at positions 338 to 795 of the family's 1533-position model. The record is from RNAcentral.
CCUACGGGAGGCAGCAGUGAGGAAUAUUGGUCAAUGGGCGCUAGCCUGAACCAGCCAAGUAGCGUGAAGGAUGACUGCCCUAUGGGUUGUAAACUUCUUUUAUAUGGGAAUAAAGUGCAGUAUGUAUACUGCUUUGCAUGUACCUUAUGAAUAAGGAUCGGCUAAGUCCGUGCCAGGAGCCGCGGUAAUACGGAGGAUCCGAGCGUUAUCCGGAUUUAUUGGGUUUAAAGGGAGCGUAGGCGGGUUGUUAAGUCAGUUGUGAAAGUUUGCGGCUCAACCGUGACAUUGCAGUUGAUACUGGCGUCCUUGAGUACAGGAGAGGUAGGCGGAAUUCGUGGUGUAGCGGUGAAAUGCUUAGAUAUCACGAAGAACUCCGAUUGCGAAGGCAGCCUGCUGGACUGUAACUGACGCUGAUGCUCGAAAGUGUGGGUAUCAAACAGGAUUAGAUACCCGAGUAGUC